Long non-coding RNA from Microplitis mediator, 1433 nucleotides. RefSeq lists it as uncharacterized. The transcript has 3 exons. NCBI's taxonomy places the organism in Eukaryota, Metazoa, Arthropoda, Insecta, Hymenoptera, Braconidae. The record is from RefSeq and is a predicted model, not a curated record.
CUUAUGCAACCGGUUAAAAUAGUUUAUCACUAUUGAAAAAGGGAUUAAAUUUAAAUUCCAUCAGACGUAUAAUUUUAAGAAGUUGUGCCAGAUAUUUAGCAACCGAUAAUACUCAAACGUAAGCACUUGUUGAAUCGUGGAAAUCUAGGGUCAGCGUAACGGAUUAGUUGUGCUGCUGCUAUAAAUGCACACGCCUUUCAUACAGUAAUAAAUCAAAGUCAAGGAAGAGGACCUUUUAGUCGUUCGAUUCUGCCUUUUCUUAUUCCUCCUACCGUAUUAUGUAAAUAUAUACAUAUACAUAUGUAAAGACAUACAAAAUAUCCGAUUGAAUUACUACAUACAUGUUAUAAUUUUCCAGAAAAUUUGUUCUCUUUUUUUUCAUUCAAAAUUAGUGGAUUUUGAAAAGUAAAAUGUUUAUGGUCUUCAGAUAUAUCUGGACAAAAAGGAUUACUGUAAAUAUGGGUAAGGGAUGUACAUAAAUCAUGUUUCUAAAAAUAAUUAGUCCUCGAGACAACUAUCGAUGACGACCCUCAAUGCUUCCGGGUGUUUAAUGUGACCCUGAUGCACGACAACAAUUUACUGUACUGGCGCUUACGAUAAUUUGCUAAGUACACAAGUCUAGUGUCACGUCGUUUAAGUUAAUUCGAUACCAGACUGUUGUUAUGAACAAGUGAUCAAAGCAUAAUCAUGAAAUUAUUGAGUUUUCUUUACCGACUAAAAUUGAUAUUAUUGUUGAUUGUGAAAAUUAUUUCAGUGAAUUCUGGUUUUAUUGGAGUUGAUUUUUAAAAUUGGCUCCAGUGACGAACGACGACGACGUUGAGUGCGCAGCAGCGCCUCGUUGAUGCCAGGCAUGACGUCAACCGGCUGAGUGUUAUUUUUGAAAGGAGACGAGAGAGAGAGAAAGAUGUUUAUGUGCGUGUGUGCGUCGGUGUUGAGAGUAUACUUGACUCACACUGCCAGCUAAAUAUCAUUUAUAGAAAUUUAAAAACAAGAUAUGUGUUUAAUAUUAUCCAAAAAAAAAAAAACUUGUUAAAUUUACAAAGAAAAUACGAAAAAAACUCAAAGAAAAUACAAAUUUUGGGACAGUGUGAUUGGAGUAAAGUGGCAAGAUGGUUACAUUGUGACGUAAAACAUAAGGAAACAACAUUGUGCAGUAAAUACAGUGCACUUAGUGUUGUGAUAUCUGAGAGUCCAAAGUUUACAGCUUUGUCUCACGAAAAAGCUUUUGUGUGCAUUACGGCACUAACGGAAAACAAAAUUUUAAACACUUUAUAAUAAUAGAACAUUCGGUCUACAUCUUAUUUAUUUGUGUUUAGUGAUUCUUGUAAAAUAUAUAUGAAGAUGUUUUCGGAAAAUAUUGAUUGAGAUGUAUGAAAAUAUAAACAAUUAUUUUUUGAAUAGAGCAGUUGAUUUAAGAUUAAUUUAAGAGUUAU